UACGAAGGGUGCAAACGUUGCUCGGAAUUAUUGGGCGUAAAGCGCACGUAGGCGGCUUGGCAAGUCGGAUGUGAAAUCCCUCGGCUCAACCAAGGAAGUGCAUCCGAAACUGCCGAGCUUGAGUACUUAAGAGGAUCGCGGAAUUCCCGGUGUAGAGGUGAAAUUCGUAGAUAUCGGGAGGAACACCAGUGGCGAAGGCGGUUGCCUGGAGCUUUGCUGACGCUGAUGCGCGAAAGCGUGGGGAGCGAUCCGG
This 253-nucleotide ribosomal RNA is filed under the name uncultured bacterium. Its description in RNAcentral is "partial 16S ribosomal RNA". It matches the Rfam family "Bacterial small subunit ribosomal RNA", at positions 524 to 776 of the family's 1533-position model. The record is from RNAcentral.